GUGGGGAAUAUUGGGCAAUGGGCGAAAGCCUGACCCAGCAACGCCGCGUGAAGGAAGAAGGCUUUCGGGUUGUAAACUUCUUUUGUCAGGGACGAAAAAAAUGACGGUACCUGACGAAUAAGCCACGGCUAACUACGUGCCAGCAGCCGCGGUAAUACGUAGGUGGCAAGCGUUAUCCGGAUUUACUGGGUGUAAAGGGCGUGUAGGCGGGAAAGCAAGUCAGAUGUGAAAACUAUGGGCUCAACCCAUAGCCUGCAUUUGAAACUGUUUUUCUUGAGUACUGGAGAGGCAGAUGGAAUUCCUAGUGUAGCGGUGAAAUGCGUAGAUAUUAGGAGGAACACCAGUGGCGAAGGCGAUCUGCUGGACAGCAACUGACGCUGAGGCGCGAAAGCGUGGGGAGCAAACAGGAUUAGAAACCCCUGUAGUCC
This 428-nucleotide ribosomal RNA is filed under the name uncultured bacterium. Its description in RNAcentral is "partial 16S ribosomal RNA". It matches the Rfam family "Bacterial small subunit ribosomal RNA", at positions 354 to 796 of the family's 1533-position model. The record is from RNAcentral.